CCUACGGGAGGCAGCAGUGGGGAAUUUUGGACAAUGGGCGCAAGCCUGAUCCAGCAAUGCCGCGUGAGUGAAGAAGGCCUUCGGGUUGUAAAGCUCUUUUGUCAGGGAAGAAACGGGCGAGGCUAAUAUCCUCGUCUAAUGACGGUACCUGAAGAAUAAGCACCGGCUAACUACGUGCCAGCAGCCGCGGUAAUACGUAGGGUGCAAGCGUUAAAUCGGAAUUACUGGGCGUAAAGCGUGCGCAGGCGGUUUUGUAAGUCUGUCGUGAAAUCCCCGGGCUCAACCUGGGAAUGGCGAUGGAGACUGCAAGGCUAGAAUCUGGCAGAGGGGGGUAGAAUUCCACGUGUAGCAGUGAAAUGCGUAGAGAUGUGGAGGAACACCGAUGGCGAAGGCAGCCCCCUGGGUCAAGAUUGACGNUCAUGCACGAAAGCGUGGGGAGCAAACGAGGUAUUAGACUACCCGUGGUACGUCCACGCCCUAAACGAUGUCUACUAGUUGUCGGUACUUAAUUGACUUAGUACGUCAGCGUACGCGUGAGUAGACCG
This 545-nucleotide ribosomal RNA is filed under the name uncultured bacterium. Its description in RNAcentral is "bacterial SSU rRNA". It matches the Rfam family "Bacterial small subunit ribosomal RNA", at positions 338 to 871 of the family's 1533-position model. The record is from RNAcentral.